GUGCUUGCUUCGGACGCACAAGUACUAGAAGUGGAACAAGGCAGAGAUUAGCAUGGCCCCUGUGCAAGGAUGACACGCAAAUUCGUGUCUUGUUUUU
Molecule: small nuclear RNA, 97 nt
Filed under: Echinops telfairi (small Madagascar hedgehog)
Lineage: Eukaryota; Metazoa; Chordata; Mammalia; Afrosoricida; Tenrecidae
Source: RNAcentral